Molecule: long non-coding RNA, 646 nt
Filed under: Zonotrichia albicollis (white-throated sparrow)
Lineage: Eukaryota; Metazoa; Chordata; Aves; Passeriformes; Passerellidae
Description: lncRNA (ENSZALG00000012353.1)
Source: RNAcentral
CAAACACUUGUGGGAGCUCCUAAACUUCUAAUCUUCCUGUAAAAUUAACCUGGCAAUGGAAUGUGAUGCUGCAGUCUGCUUAAAUAGUGUGUUUCCUGUGGGAUUGUAAGGAAGUCACUCCUGUUUCUGCUCCAGUUCCCUGUCUGAGCAAUAACUCUUCCUCCUCUGUGAGCUGCUGGGACGGUCUUGAUACACUGUGUAAAAGGGAGUUGAUGAGGCAGCUGACUUCUCCAAAGAGCUGUGGCAGAUGGAACAUACAGCCAGGAUUUCCAGUCCACUGAGCCACAGAACACAGGAGAGCUCCACUCUGAAUGUGUGGCAUGAAGAGGUGGAUUGUCAAUAUGUUAAUUAAUUAAUAUACCUGCUGACUUGGAGAUGGAUGCUGGGGAAAUCCCAGGCUGGCCUGGGUUGGAAGGGAACUUUAAAGAUCCUCAAAUCCACUCCCCUGCUAUGGGCAGAGCCACCUUUCACUACACCAGCAGCUCAAAGGUCUGUGAUGAAAACAAAAAGGUUUCUGGGGUUUUGUUGUUGGAUAUUUUUGAAGCCAGGCAAGAGUAAAAGGAGAGUGAUGGUGUCAACACCAAGGUCUGUGCAAGUGAGUCAAAGUGCCGCACUUAUUUCUCAUGAAAAAGCCAUUGGACACAAG